CUCGUCCUCGUCACACUUGUAUUUUCCCGCCACUGGCACUCUGGCACCUCACGCACGCCACCAAGCACACACCUACCACCACAGCACCACCCCCGCCCGCGCUCUCAUACCUCCUCAUCCUCGCCCUCACCCUCACACCUCCACUCCUUGCCCCACACGAGUUUGACCUCACCACCACCACCACCGCUGCCGUCUCUCUCCCUCCCUGCUCUCUCUCUCUCUCUCUCUCUCUCUCUCAUCCUCGACCUGACCCUCACACCUCCAGUCCCUGCCCCACACGAGUUUGACCUCACCAACACCACCACCACACCACACCACACUACACCACACCACCGUUUCUCUCUCCUCCUCCUCCGUUUGGUCUCUCUCCCUUCUUGCUCUCAUCACAUACCUCCAUUUAUAUUUUUGGGAUUUUGGUUUAUAUAUCACUGAAUACCACUACACACACACACACACACACACACACCAUUCUCAUUUCACUGUGGCUGAGGUGCUUAUUUUCUUUCUAUCAUUAAAAACAAAUGUGGAUGGUUUUGCUUAACUAAUGAUGGGAUGCUGGCACAGUGUUUUCAGUGACACACACACACACACACACACACACAUCAUUUUCACCAUUGCUUGGUUUAGAAAGCUGAGGUUUGGUUAAUUUUUUUUUCAACCUUUCCAUUUUUCUAUUUUCUAGGCCAGUUGAGUUUUCCACAGUUACCUUUAGUUAAUUAGUCAAGUUGAGGUGCUAGUAGGCCUGGGAGAAUAUGUGACUUGUUGCUAAGAAAUGAGUACAGUGCCACAUUUAGAGAAGUGAUUGGGGUGUGUGUGGGGAAGAAAUGAAAGGAGUCAUACACACACCUCAUUGAAAGUCCACAAGAGUCCAGGGUGCAUAGGUGGAAGCUGCUGUGCCUGCUGAAAAGGGUGUGGAGAAAAGAAAAUAUGUGCUUGUGCAAUGAAAUUCUGUUGGGUGUGGUGUUAGGGUAGGCACAAUCGAAAAGGGUGCGCGUAAGGAAGUUAGUUUUGUGCGUGUUUAGGGUGAUAGAUGGUGCUCUGAAUAGGGUGUGAAGGAGAAAAAGAAUUAUGUACUUGUGCAGUGAAGAAAAUUUGUCGAGUGUGAUGUUAGGGUAGGCACAAUCGAAUAGGGUGCACGUAAGGAAGUUAGUUUUGUGCAUGUAUAGGGUGAGGUAGAUGGUGCUCUGAAUAGGGUGUGAAGGAGAAAAAGAAUUUGCUUGUGCAGUGAAGAAAAUUUGUCGGGUGUGAUGUUAGGGUAGGCAGUGAAUCGAAUAGGAUGCUCAUAGGAAGUUAGGUUUGUGUGUAUAUAGGGUGAGGUAGAUGGUGCUCUGAAUAGGGUGUGAAGGAGAAAAAGAAUUAUGUGCUUGUGCAGUGAAGAAAAUUAUGUUGGGUUUGGUGUUAGGGUAGGCACAAUCGAAUAGGGUGCUCAUAGGAAGUUAGAUUUGUGUGUGUAUAGGGUGAGGUAGAUGGUGCUCUGAAUAGGGUGUGAAGGAGAAAAAGAAUUAUGUGCUUGUGCAGUGAAGAAAAUUAUGUUUGGUUUGGUGUUAGGGUAGGCAGUGAAUCGAAUAGGAUGCUCAUAGGAAGUUAGGUUUGUGCGUGUAUAGGGUGAGGUAGAUGGUGCUCUGAAUAGGGUGUGAAGGAGAAAAAGAAUUAUGUGCUUGUGCAGUGAAGAAAAUUAUGUUGGGUUUGGUGUUAGGGUAGGCAGUGAAUCAAAUAGGGUGCUCAUAGGAAGUUAGGUUUGUGCAUGUAUAGGGUGAGGUAGGUGGUGUUUUGAAUAGGGUGUGAUGGAGAAAAAGAAAUAUGUGCUUGUGCAGUGAAGAAAAUUUGUUAAGUGUGAUGUUAGGGAAGGCAGUGAAUCAAAUAGGGUGCUCAUAGGAAGUUAGUUUUGUGCGUGUUUAGGAUGAGGUAGAUGGUGUUCUGACUAGGGUGUGAUGGAGAAAAAAUGUGUGUUUGUGGUGCAGUGAAGAAAUUUUGUAGGAUCCGAAUAGGGUGCUUGUAAGGAACAUAGGGUGGGUGAGUAGGAUGAGAUAGAGGGUGGUAUAGAGAGGAAGUAAACAGGGUCCUAAAGCAGUGAAGAUGAAGUUUGCCUGUGAAUUUGCUGUAGUUCAGUCAGGGCAAGCAUUGACUACAUAGGAAGCAUGUUUUUAAUAGGUUAGUGUGUGAAUAGGGUGGGAUAUUUUGAAUGCAAGGUGAUCUUCUUUGAGGUAUAGUGAAGAAAAGACUAAAAAGACUGGUGUUAUUUUAUUUUUCUGUGUAGGUUAGGGUGGAGUGAGGAUGGAUGAGGUGUAAUGUUGCUAAGAGAUCAGUUUUCUUGAAUAGGUUAUGAAAAAGUAUAUAUACAUAGUGUGAUGUUGCCAAGAAAAAUCUGUGAAUGUUGAUUAGGGUGUAAUGUUGAUGGAAAGAGGGAAAAAAUGCUGAGGUAGGUUACGAAAAAUGAUCGGCUGCAGUGUUCUAGAAAAUAAUUUAAUAUGAAGCAGGAAAGUGGAUAUUCAUUGAGCUGGAACUUUUGGGAAAAAAGUGCAUAAUCGAAUUUCCUGCUAAGCUUUGGGCCUGUUGUAAUGUGGAGUGAAACAUGAAAAGGUUAAAUGUUGUGAAAGGCAGAUUUCCUUAUAAACUGGUGCUUAUUUGGGUACUUCAUUGUUGUGUUAUCUAUGUAAGAAGUUUUUUGAGAUAGAUAAUCAAUAAGCUUAGUUAAUGAGUUGGGAUCUAAAAAUAAUAGUCAGUGUUAGUGUUUUAUCAACUUUUGUCCUGUCCUGUGAUAAGGUUUUGAACUAAAGGAAACGCAAGAAAUGGCUUCCUUGCACGAGCUUAAUGCAUCAAGUGUCAGGAGUAGCACCUUCAGUUUCUGCUGCAUAGGAAUGGGUUUCUGUGUGAUGGGGAAGAUGAAUGCAUUAGUGUGUGUUAGGGGUAGAUGAAUUAGUGAGUUUGUGUUAAAAGUCAAGCUAUAUUUAGGGGGCUACAGAGAUUUUUGUUCUGUUGUAACCAGCUUGGAUUUAUUUUGGGUCCAAAGUAGAAACAUUUAUCUUUGUUAUUAGUAAAUGGGUUGUGGUUAGGUUGAGUUAAGUUAGGUUUAGUACUUCAGUGUUAAUAAGUCAGGCUCUAUUUAGGAUACUACAGAAUUUUUUGCAUUAUCGUAACAAACACGGCUGUAUUUGGGUCCAGGAGUAGGAACUUUAGUCUUGUUCUUAGAAAAUGGGUUGUGGGGUUGGAAAGUAAUAUACAUAGGGUAGUAUUAAGGUCAAGCUAUAUUUAGGAUGCCUCAGAGUUCUUGAUUAAUAGGUCGAGAUAAAUUUUAGAUGCUGUAGAGUUUUUGGUUGUGUAUUGGUGCCUGACAGUCUUGUGUUAUCUAGUUUGGAUCCUUUGCUUAUAAAAACUGUGGCACAUGUUGGGAAGUGUGUGUGUCAGUGCCCCCCCCAUCUCAUGUAUACUAAUCAGGGAAAGUACAUGCGAUCCUCUUUCACGCAAUUAUUUUUAGCGCCCAGAAAGUUGAGUGGCUUAAAAAUUAUCGACAUCAAAUUUUCCUUCAUUCGUUUAUACUUACAGUGAAAUAUAGCAUCUGAUAAUUACCUAAGAGGAUGGGUUUUCCUCUGUCGAUAUUGGAUGGGGUUAAUUUUGGGUUAUCUUUUGCGGUUUGUUGUGUAAAGGUGAACUUUUCAUGAUAUAGGAAGUUCAUUA
Eriocheir sinensis (Chinese mitten crab) is the source of this 3675-nucleotide long non-coding RNA. RefSeq lists it as uncharacterized. The record is from RefSeq and is a predicted model, not a curated record. The transcript is spliced from 3 exons. Lineage: Eukaryota; Metazoa; Arthropoda; Malacostraca; Decapoda; Varunidae.